AAAGUCGUAACAAGGUUUCCGUAGGUGAACCUGCGGAAGGAUCAUUAACAAUUGUCCAAUAUUAUGGAUAAUUUAUCCAUAUCCACCUUGUGUGAAUCAUUGAAGUGUUAGUUGUCAGGUUCAAAACACAGUUUUGUUUUUUGGGCGGCAGUUUGGUGAGAUUUAUCACCGGCCGCCAGCGAGGGCGUAUGUUUAAUAUGCUCUUGGCCUGCCAAUUUUUAUUUUCUCAACUCGUCUAAAAUGUAUUUGACUGAAACAUAAUGCAAAUAAUAAAUACAACUUUCAACAACGGAUCUCUUGGCUCUC
Molecule: unclassified non-coding RNA, 306 nt
Filed under: Basidiomycota sp.
Lineage: Eukaryota; Fungi; Basidiomycota
Description: partial contains small subunit ribosomal RNA, internal transcribed spacer 1, and 5.8S ribosomal RNA
Rfam family: Eukaryotic small subunit ribosomal RNA (bases 1-47)
Source: RNAcentral